RNAcentral lists this ribosomal RNA (372 nucleotides) under uncultured organism. RNAcentral's name for it is "partial 16S ribosomal RNA". It matches the Rfam family "Bacterial small subunit ribosomal RNA", at positions 527 to 896 of the family's 1533-position model. The record is from RNAcentral.
GUAGGUGGCAAGCGUUGUCCGGAAUAUUGGGCGUAAAGCGCGCGCAGGGCGGUCCUUUAAGUCUGAUGUGAAAGCCCACGGCUCAACCGUGGAGGGUCAUUGGAAACUGGGGGACUUGAGUACAGAAGAGGAAAGCGGAAUUCCAAGUGUAGCGGUGAAAUGCGUAGAGAUUUGGAGGAACACCAGUGGCGAAGGCGGCUUUCUGGUCUGUAACUGACGCUGAGGCGCGAAAGCGUGGGGAGCAAACAGGAUUAGAUACCCUGGUAGUCCACGCCGUAAACGAUGAGUGCUAAGUGUUAGGGGGUUUCCGCCCCUUAGUGCUGCAGCUAACGCAUUAAGCACUCCGCCUGGGGAGUACGGCCGCAAAGGCUG